Molecule: non-coding RNA, 1198 nt
Organism: Oryza sativa Japonica Group (Japanese rice)
Lineage: Eukaryota; Viridiplantae; Streptophyta; Magnoliopsida; Poales; Poaceae
Source: RefSeq, a predicted model, not a curated record
UUAGUCUCACCCCUAAUAAAUCGACCCAAUGCACUGUAGUUCAGGUGGGUUGGUUGGGCCUGUUCAACGUGGUGUAGCGUUGAUCAGUAGAGAUUUAAUAUUACCUUAAUUACUUAACAAUUUUACUGUUUUGGUCAAUAAAAUGUUUUACAACCGCCUUUAUGCAUAUAGCCACAAGCCAAUCUUGAAUCCUCUUGCACGUCUGCAUCAUUGGUGUGGCUUGCUGAGUACGGUGGUUGUACUCAGCCUUAUUCCCUUUUUUAUAAGUGCAGUGCUUCUGAGCUGAAGAUGAAGUUAGAAGACCAAGGCUCAGACCCCAGUUGAGUUUUGCCUGUGGAGUGGAGCUGAAGCCCCGCUAGGAUCGCCUUUUUCCGUUGCUGUCGUUCUCUUUCGGUGUGAGGACUAAGUGCCUCUUCUGUGGUGGUCCAUCAGAUCGUGCAUGAUACCAAUCUUUCGUUGGAGGCAAGUGCAUGAUGAACUAAUUGUGUGAUUCAUAGAUUGUUUGCUCUAUCUAUCUAUUUCCGUUAUAUUUCUAUGUGGUAUGUGACUGGUUAUGUUCAGACUGUUGUUAAUGCCAUUUAGAUUUCAAAUUUAUCUUAUGUCACGACAUUAUUCAUGUUUUAUUAUUUCGGAUGUUUUAUUUCUAUUAUUCAAGGACCAUGCGUAGUCAUGGGAGUGCAAUGUGGAUCUUUAUUCAUGUUCCUGUGAGUAAGUGCUGAUCACGCUUACUCGGCUUUGCCAGCAAAUGCUAGGAUGUAUUCACUAUUGUCUGGGAUGGAAACUACUAUUUCAAUUCAGUCCUGCCCGGGAUGGGAACUACUAUCUUCUUUGACUUGGUGUUUGGAAAUGUGUUUCCUAUCAAAGAAAGAAAGCCUUCUGUUCAUGCUUUAUUGUCAAUGAUGUGUAUAUGUGUUUUCUAGUUCCAUAUUGUACUUGCUGAGUAUUUUUAUACUCACUCUUGUGUUUUACUUGGUUUUAGGUAUGCAUUGAGACCGACAUGCAUGGGCGGGAAGUAGCACCCUUAUAUACACAUCUACUUGCACACUAUCAAACUAUAUUGCUUAGGUCCAUAAUGACACUUAAAUUAUAUCCUGGUUUGGUCUUGUAAUAAUCUUUUAGAUUUCUAAUAGUUUCUUUCAUUAUAAGGAUGGAUCGUAUUGUGGGAAUGAUAUUGUUAUUAGUUUAACUUAUAAUUACC